Brassica oleracea var. oleracea is the source of this 67-nucleotide transfer RNA. It matches the Rfam family "tRNA". Rfam says of the family: Transfer RNA (tRNA) molecules are approximately 80 nucleotides in length. Their secondary structure includes four short double-helical elements and three loops (D, anti-codon, and T loops). Lineage: Eukaryota; Viridiplantae; Streptophyta; Magnoliopsida; Brassicales; Brassicaceae. The record is from Rfam.
GGUCAUGUAGCUCAGUUGGUUAGAGCAUUGGUCUUAUGAGCCAAAGGUUCAAGCCUCGCCAGGGCCA